RNAcentral lists this ribosomal RNA (208 nucleotides) under uncultured bacterium. Its description in RNAcentral is "partial 16S ribosomal RNA". It matches the Rfam family "Bacterial small subunit ribosomal RNA", at positions 568 to 774 of the family's 1533-position model. The record is from RNAcentral.
UGCGUAGGCGGGGAUGUAAGUCAGAUGUGAAAAAACCAAAGCUCAACUUUGGCAGUGCAUCUGAAACUGCAAUUCUAGAGGGAUAGCGGAGAAAACGGAAUUCCACGUGUAGCGGUGAAAUGCGUAGAUAUGUGGAAGAACACCUGUGGCGAAAGCGGUUUUCUAGCUUUCCCCUGACGCUGAGGCACGAAAGGCAGGGAGGCAAGCA